Molecule: RNA transcript, 3457 nt
Organism: Neodiprion virginianus
Lineage: Eukaryota; Metazoa; Arthropoda; Insecta; Hymenoptera; Diprionidae
Exons: 4
Source: RefSeq, a predicted model, not a curated record
UCCAUCUUGUCAUAGCAAGUUUAAGAUCUUACACUGUGUAACUCCGUUUUGUGACUUGAAAUAUUAAACUUAUAAAAUAAAUCGAAGUUAAUCAAAGUAUUCAAAUAUAUUAGAGUCAGUUAUUCCGUUAAAUCCUCUCACCAAUCUACGCUGCAACUCGUCACAUCCAGAGUAUCCUCAAGAGGUACCGUUCGACGUCACAGUAGGAAAAAUGCGUCCCGUAAAUCAGUGGAGCCGGAACGCCUCUGAUUGGGGCUUGAAAAGUCACUGGAUUCCGGGUUCGUGGACACGGAACAAAUUCCGGACUAUGGGACGGCAGCCUUGCUCUGGACCGAUAGCUAUAUGAUCAGAACGUCCGGAGCGACGCUGGUGAUAAAACCGUGCACUAUUAAAUCUCAGAGUUUCGCGGACGCCUGUUCUGCCUCUCCGCCUUAGAGAUUGGACUCUUGUACCCUAGUCUCCGUGGUCAACUGCUUCGCCGGCUAUAGACACAUAAAACACGAGAAGAAAGGAGAUAAAAGUCGAAAAAAUAAAGUUAGACACGGUGCAUGCAUCAAUUACUGUACAUACAUACGUAACCGUUGCUGAGAACACAGCCGUCCCCUUCCACUUAUUUGAGAACUCUGAUAGCAUUGCAUUACCACAGCAAGAAAAAUAAAUGUUGCCACACAAAUUGACUAGUAGGAGUGGUAGCAUUGAUAUAAUAAUAGGAAACAUUGAAAAUUUGUUUGCUUUCUAUCUCGAGAGUGCGCUGGUGGUGCGCUGCGAUAAAAUUGUGUUACCAACAAACGUGAAGGAAAACUCAAAAGUUCUACUAUCCUUUGGUUAUUUCAUCACCCAGCUCGAUUCAAGUGGUAAUACUUGCAAUCUGUGUCGAAUCAAGAAUCCUGUCCUAAACUGUCCUAAAGCAGUGAGUGUCACCCCACUGCACUAAUCUUCAGUCGAAUGAGCCUUUAGUUUGAAAUAGACAGAAAUACUUAACUGAAAUAUUUUGCUGUUGUGUGGUUCGUAAUGAAAGAGUAAUGACUGGGUGUUCAGUUCGAGGAUGUUCGAAUUCCCGAGAAAAAGGUUUUCUAAUGAAAACAUUACCAACCGAUCCAGAUAGGAGAAGACUUUGGCUGACAGCUAUCAAUCGGCCUGCUCUUAUGAAGAGUAAAGCACCUGCUUUAUGUGAGGUAUGCGAAUGUACAUUUUGACAAUGAUUGCUGGGAAAUGCCGGGUGUUGGUGGGAAACGGAAGCUGAAAGAUGAUGCAAUGCCAACCCUCUUCCUGAAUUACGUUGGCAGAAAACAGCGUGAUGAUGUGCCAAUUGUUACUCCACCUCCAAAUUAUGUAUUCGAAGUAAUGGUUCCCGACCUAAUCAUCCAAACAGACAUGACCAGGGUGAACCAGCAACACGCAGUUAUUACUCCAUCUUCAAACUAUGUAUAUGAAGUGAUGGUUCCAGAACUAAUCGUCAAGGCAGAUGUGAACAAGUCGACAGAAGAACCAAAACCUCAAAGUUCAAACACAGAUCACGAACAUUGUAAUAAAUUAUAUGACAGAUGCUACCAAAGAUUGAUGUACUUAAAAAAAAAAUUAAAAGCGUAUCGAGCUGAAAAUAAGCGGUUGCGAGCCUUGACUUGUGAUGGAGAUACAUGUAAAGGCAUCCUGAAUGAUGCCGAGAUAGAAAUACUUGAAAAAAGAUAUAAGAGGUGUGAAAAGUGGUCCAAAGAUACAUUAGAACAAGCUUUGUGGCUCAAGUUAGCGUGUGGAAAUGCUGGAUACACUCAACUAAGAAAACAAAAUAUUCCACUGCCAUCACUGCAAACACUAGCCCACAUGCGACACGUUGAAUUUGACUGCUGAAUUAAAAUACAGUAGAAUCUCAAUUAACUUAUUCUACAAAACUUCACACGAUAGAAAUAAAACACUACUUUUUAUGUCAUAGUUGCAUGUUGCAAACAACAUAUUGUUUGUUAUAAAAUGUAAAGCAAGGCAACAAAUUAAAUUACAUUUCACUUUCUGUCAUCCAAGUACAAAUAAGAUCUUGAAAUUCAGUAGUCACUGCGUGAUGGAUGGAAAGGAAAAAUCAUAAAGUAAUAAGUAACAAAGUUCUAUAAAUCAAGAUUCAUCAUUUACUGUAUGAAACGAAAUGACUGUACAUCAUACUGAGACCCUGGUUUGAUUACAUUCAUAACAACGGGUAUGUGGGAUAAUUGUUUUUUACUACUGAACACGAUAAUGAGAUCAAAUUACAAGAUACUAAGUUACUAAAGAUCACGGAAAUGAUAGCCAGAUUUCCCAUAAUGAGUUUGCAACUUGGUGCUAGUAAGAACAAAAGCAACUACAUGGUUCACAGUUGGAUCAGAGAUUAAAGCAGCUAAACUUAGAUAGUGAUCUAUACAGAGUGUUUCUAUCGAAGUGCUAACAAGAUAUAAUAGGAUUUAAAAAAAAGGAAAGAAUCUAGCCAAAAAAUUUUCGGUUUAGAAAAUUACAUAAUGAGAUAGACUCAGACGAAAUAUUAAUUAUUUUGCAUCGCUUGCCAAUAGGGAUCUAGAUACAAUAAAUCAACACAAUACAUACGUUCACAAACACAAUACGUAGAAUUUUUACGUGUGGAUUAAUUUAUAUUCCGUUUUCAUUGCAGUCUCAGUUGUAAAAUGGUGAACUCAUAGGUUUGUUGGCAUUGUAAAGCAUAUUGUUCAAAAUGGAAGUCAAACUCUUUAAAGCUUACUUUGGACUCACAAGGAAACAGAAAAAUUUAUUUUACAUUGUGAAUAAACGUUAAAGACUAUCAGUUAUUUGAUUGGAUUGAUUGUUACUCCUACUACUCCAUGUCAAUUACAUUUCUAACUCUUAAGUUUACUUUUUUCGUUCUCACCCUGAUACAUCUCCAAAUCAUCACAAUAUAAGGUUAUUAAAUAUAAUUGACGUGUGUAAAUAUUGUAAAUCAGAUGUUAUGCAAAUAAUUAUUUGAUAUAUGAACUAUCAUAUCAUUUCCGAACAAUGUGACGUAUAUAGGGCAUUCCAUGCCAACUCAAACAAUGUUGAAUCCUCAUCACUUUUGAUAUUGUUCAAAAAAAUUUUACCAGAUUGUCCCAACUCCAAAACAGUACCCAGAAUUGUUUUAGAUUUUUUUGAGUAAAUUUGUAUUACUGAUGAUUUUCGAAAAACAACAUGUCUUAUACCGUAAAUUGAAAAUUUGAAAAAAUAUUCAAAAACCUUGUGUCAAGUAUAAAAAUUUUUAGGCCUAGACCCAGCGUGGGCUGGCGAUCCCUUCUGCUCUUUUCUGAGCUUUCUAAAGAAAUAAAAAAGAAUUGAAAAAAUUAUCAGAAUAUACAUUAGGGUGGUAUUUUUUUUAAUUUAAUUUUUUUCUUCUUACGUACCCGUUGAAGUUAGUUGUUGGCCUCAAACGAAGCUUUGUAAAACCGGAAUUCUGUAUCAAAAUACUAAAAGAUGACUCGUCCAGUUUAAA